CCCAUAGAUCAGUUGUGCCCCAUAGAGCCCUGGCCCCAUACAUCCUGCCCAUAAGAUUCACUAGUGUGCUCCAAAGAGCCUUGCCCCACUAGAUCAGUGUGCCCCACAGAUCACAUUGUGCCCCAUAGAUCCUGCCCCAUAGAUCACAGUGUGCCCCAUAGAUCACAGUGUGCCCCAUAGAGCCUGCCCCAUAGAUCAGUGUGCCCCAUAGAGCCUGCCCCAUAGAUCACACUGUGCCCCAUAGAGCCUGCCCCAUAGAGCCUGCCCCAUAGAUCACACUGUGCCCCAUAGAGCCUGCCCCAUAGAUCAGUGUGCCCCAUAGAGCCUGCCCCAUAGAUCACACUGUGCCCC
Molecule: long non-coding RNA, 351 nt
Filed under: Coturnix japonica (Japanese quail)
Lineage: Eukaryota; Metazoa; Chordata; Aves; Galliformes; Phasianidae
Description: lncRNA (ENSCJPG00005000626.1)
Source: RNAcentral